This 433-nucleotide ribosomal RNA is filed under the name uncultured bacterium. RNAcentral describes it as "partial 16S ribosomal RNA". It matches the Rfam family "Bacterial small subunit ribosomal RNA", at positions 29 to 507 of the family's 1533-position model. The record is from RNAcentral.
AACGAACGCUGGCGGCAGGCCUAACACAUGCAAGUCGAGCGGACCCUUCGGGGUUAGCGGCGGACGGGUGCGUAACGCGUGGGAAUAUGCCCUUCUCUACGGAAUAGUCCUGGGAAACUGGGGGUAAUACCGUAUACGCCCUUUGGGGGAAAGAUUUAUCGGGGAAGGAUUAGCCCGCGUUGGAUUAGGUAGUUGGUGGGGUAAUGGUCUACCAAGCCGACGAUCCAUAGCUGGUUUGAGAGGAUGAUCAGCCACACUGGGACUGAGACACGGCCCAGACUCCUACGGGAGGCAGCAGUGGGGAAUCUUAGACAAUGGGGGCAACCCUGAUCUAGCCAUGCCGCGUGAGUGAUGAAGGCCUUAGGGUUGUAAAGCUCUUUCAGCUGGGAAGAUAAUGACGGUACCAGCAGAAGAAGCCCCGGCUAACUCCGUG